GAUGAACGCUAGCGGCAGGCUUAAUACAUGCAAGUCGAGGGGCAGCAUGACUGUAGCAAUACAGUUGAUGGCGACCGGCAAACGGGUGCGGAACACGUACAGAACCUUCCUUCGAGCGGGGAAUAGCCCAGAGAAAUUUGGAUUAAUACCCCAUAGUACAACGGAGUGGCAUCACUUUGUUGUUAAAGAUUUAUCACUUGAAGAUGGCUGUGCGGCUGAUUAGGUAGUUGGCGGGGUAACGGCCCACCAAGCCUGCGAUCAGUAACUGGUGUGAGAGCACGACCAGUCACACGGGCACUGAGACACGGGCCCGACUCCUACGGGAGGCAGCAGUAAGGAAUAUUGGUCAAUGGACGAAAGUCUGAACCAGCCAUGCCGCGUGGAGGAUGAAGGUCCUCUGGAUUGUAAACUUCUUUUAUAUGGGACGAAAAAGGGUUUCUAACUCGUCUGACGGUACCAUAUGAAUAAGCACCGGCUAACUCCGUAGCCAGCAGCCGG
Molecule: ribosomal RNA, 498 nt
Filed under: uncultured bacterium
Lineage: Bacteria
Description: bacterial SSU rRNA
Rfam family: Bacterial small subunit ribosomal RNA
Source: RNAcentral